This 2999-nucleotide long non-coding RNA is filed under the name Prunus persica (peach). RNAcentral describes it as "long non-coding RNA (PPER_LNC007191)". The record is from RNAcentral. Lineage: Eukaryota; Viridiplantae; Streptophyta; Magnoliopsida; Rosales; Rosaceae.
UCUAUAUACACAAAUUUAUAUAGGAUUUAUUUCACUUAUACAAACAAUGAAUUGAAUAUGGGAUCUAUCAUACUAUGUCACCUACAAUUACAAUUACCACCACAUGCCAUGUUGAAUAAGAAAAAUUCAAUGUUCUAACUUGUUCAUGUGAGAGAGCAGUAUGCUGAAGGGACAAAACUAAUUGAGGCGGAGGAAAAAACUAGUUAUAUAUUGUGCCAAAGGGACAAAACUAGUUCUACAUGCUAUCCACUUCUAUAUGGAAGUAAAACCAACUUCCCAUUAUAAGAUUACUUUAGCAAUCAAGACUUGUGACGAACUCAUCCACAUAUUUACAUUAUCUAUGACUCUAGAUAGGUUGGAAUCACUUCUAGGGAGAAGCAUCUCCCACAUGAUUUUCCAUAUAAUCACUUUUAGUUAUUUUAAGUGAAUUUAGGGAUGUUCUUCUACAUAAAAUCACUUAAAACCACUUAAAGUGAUUAUGAAAAAAUGAUUCUCCAUAGAAGUGAUUUUUGGCCUAACCUGAAUCACUUCCAAACAAGCUCUAAGAACAAAAAAAUAAUAAUCAAAAGUUUCACAGAAAAGGAAUAUGAAUGCCUUUGCAGAAAAGAAAAAGAAAAGAAAAAUGCUUAUAAAAAAAUGUAUUUCAUAGCAAAAAUGGUUACUAUUUUAGCCUGAAGUUGGUCAGUAAAAGUGACAAGUCACUUCUCCACCAUAUUCCAAGCUACUGGGUAAGAAUUGAAGUGGACCCAACCAUCUUAGGCACUUAACCUCUAAGCCCAUUUUCCUAAAAAUUUGUUGAGAAGAAUUGAAGUUGGAGGCCACUUACCAUAUCUAGGAUCAUUUGAUCCAACUGGAAGAAUGGUUGUUGAUUCUAACCAUCCAUCUUGGCCGGUAUCCACUCCACCUCUUUGAUCUCAAAAGCAUGAUUUAGGGUCUUCAUGAAAAAAUUCCACUUGCACCAUGCUCUAGCACUUUAUUAGCCCACAACCACAUAGCCUUCUCAAGACACUCUUCGUCCACAUGGGCAUCGUCUGCCCCUAAAUCGAUCGAAUUUUGGACCGAGAUUCCCGUGAUGGAAAGAGGCCCAAGAUGAUCUUUGUAAAAUCUUGCUUCCACCGUGUUGGCUAAAGCCAUGAAAAAUAUUGUAUACACUACCAUCCUUAUGCCAAGAACUAAUGAAGGAACACAUAUAUUUCCAUGGAUCCAAUCUCAGCUCGAAAAAGCAUUGUAGUGAGCCAUUGUCUCCACCCCAAAGAAGGUUUGCAUCUUGAACUUUUGGCCCACCUUGACUUGGAGUGGGUUGAUCCCCUUUAUCUCAGUGGGAAUUCCUUUAUCCGAACAUUUCUUCAACUUCCUCAUAAUUGAAGCUAGAAGGAUGUUCACCGUGGGCCCUCGCAUUAAUUUGAAUUUUGCUCACCAGCACCUCCAUCAAAAUGAGCAAAUACUUGUAAGGGCUUAAGGUGGGUAGCUCGAUGUUUUUCAUUCGGCCUUGACACAAUGAUUUGAGGUCGAGCCACGUCUACAUUUAGAACUUCUCAAGUCACUUAGAUUUCCUUUGGUUCGCUCAUCUGAAACAUUGACUCGACCUUGUCGAAGACAUCACCGUAAAUGGAAUUAGGUUGGCCCGGCUAUACUUUCAAAAACAAGAGAAGUGUGACCACCAUGGAAUCGACCUCAUCAAAGUUCCAAAACUUCAACUUGGUCUUACCCACCUUCCAAGCACUUUCUAACUUGGCUAGCCUUUUCAUAUUCUCAUGAUCGUUCGGAUGCUUCAUAUUUUAUUUUGGGAAUUCUUGGAGACACUCACCAUCACCAUACUUAUCGUCCCCAUAGAACGCCUCGACCUUUAUGCUCGGGAUUUUCUUAGGCUUAUUUAGCCUCUACUUUGUUCAUAGGUUCAAGCCUUUAUUCUAUCUUUUUGGUAUGAAAAUCACCAUGACUUGGUCCUCCUCUACCUUUGGCUCUUCAUAUUUCAUCUAAGGAUCACCCCUAACAUCUUCAACUAUUUCAUGGUCCUCCUCUUCUUUCCUUUCGACCUUGUCUUGUUAACCACCUUGGCCAUGACUUGAUUUUGCCUACGGUCUGUUGGACUUUUGGCUAAACUGACUUAGCCUUUUCAACCUUUGAUACCCUCUAAUCCACCACCUUUGUUGGCUGCCUUGACUCUACCUAGGAAUUAUUUGCCUUGAAAAAUUCUGGCAGAUGAGCCUCCAACCCCAAGAUUGUCUCAUAUGGGACUGUAACCACAACUGAGCAAUUCAUCAAUUCUUAGUGCAUUUUCAUCUUUUCAGCCGUUGCUGCUUCUAGUGAGGCCACAACCUCAACCUUGGUUAGUUCCAACUCUUCCAUCUGAAGCUUUUCUAAAAGUUUGACCACUCGAUUAAGUUGGGUUGGCCUCUCAUUUUUCCAUCAUUAUUCCUUUACAUAGAUCUUGCCAUUCGCCUUGCGAUAGGUUGAAGUACUAGGAUGACUAGUAUGAUCCAAAUGAUCUCUGGCCAUCUCUUUGGACCAUCUUCCAUGCCCCAUAAAUGCCUUUGAUUGGCUAAUUUUGGCCUUUGCUGGUGUUCGAUAAUUUGAUCACUUUAAAAUGUGGUAUUGCUAUGUUGACCUUUUCCCUUACAACCACGUUUAUCAUUAUUGCAGCACGUUUAGUCGUGUUCCCACCUUUUCUUUCACUAGAUAAAGGCCAUUAUCUCUUAGGAUGGUCACCUUAGGUUGUACUAUAUUUCAAGCCUCCUAUUCGUUCAUGUUUUGGGUCUCAUCUCCUUGGGUGGACUCAUUUUCCCCAACCAAUUAGAGGUUCUCAAUAGGAAAUUCAACUUGAGCAUUUGACUCCAAGGCUGAAUUGUCACUUAUUUCCCAAUCAAUAUUGGGGUUGAUAUCUAUAUGAUUAUUUUCCUCUUGUGGCUGAGAAUCAGGAUAAGGUUGAGAUUUUUCCACUCGGCUAGUUGGCCAAGUCGCAAGGAGAUUCAUCGGCUGAUAGGAAUAGUUCCAUUAAU